Molecule: non-coding RNA, 84 nt
Organism: Armillaria nabsnona
Lineage: Eukaryota; Fungi; Basidiomycota; Agaricomycetes; Agaricales; Physalacriaceae
Source: the annotation of a GenBank genome assembly
GGCCUGAUGGUCUAGUAGUAUGAUUCCUUGUUAGGGUGGAGAACACCAUCGAGGAGGUCCUGGGUUCAAUUCCCAGUCAGGCCC